Molecule: ribosomal RNA, 253 nt
Filed under: uncultured bacterium
Lineage: Bacteria
Description: partial 16S ribosomal RNA
Rfam family: Bacterial small subunit ribosomal RNA
Source: RNAcentral
UACGUAGGGUGCGAGCGUUGUCCAGAAUUACUGGGCGUAAAGAGCUCGUAGGUGGUUUGUCGCGUUGUUCGUGAAAACUCACAGCUUAACUGUGGGCGUGCGGGCGAUACGGGCAGACUGGAGUACUGCAGGGGAGACUGGAAUUCCUGGUGUAGCGGUGGAAUGCGCAGAUAUCAGGAGGAACACCGGUGGCGAAGGCGGGUCUCUGGGCAGUAACUGACGCUGAGGAGCGAAAGCGUGGGGAGCGAACAGG